UACGAAGGGAGCUAGCGUUGUUCGGAAUCACUGGGCGUAAAGCGCACGUAGGCGGAUGUGUCAGUCAGGGGUGAAAUCCCGGAGCUCAACUUCGGAACUGCCUUUGAUACAGCACGUCUUGAGUCCGAUAGGGGUGGGUGGAAUUCCUAGUGUAGAGGUGAAAUUCGUAGAUAUUAGGAAGAACACCGGUGGCGAAGGCGGCCCACUGGAUCGGUACUGACGCUGAGGUGCGAAAGCGUGGGGAGCAAACAGG
RNAcentral lists this ribosomal RNA (253 nucleotides) under uncultured bacterium. RNAcentral's name for it is "partial 16S ribosomal RNA". It matches the Rfam family "Bacterial small subunit ribosomal RNA", at positions 524 to 776 of the family's 1533-position model. The record is from RNAcentral.